AGGGUUUGAUCAUGGCUCAGAACGAACGCUGGCGGCAGGCUUAACACAUGCAAGUCGAGCGCCCCGCAAGGGGAGCGGCAGACGGGUGAGUAACGCGUGGGAAUCUACCUUUUGCUACGGAAUAACGCAGGGAAACUUGUGCUAAUACCGUAUGUGUCCUUCGGGAGAAAGAUUUAUCGGCAAGAGAUGAGCCCGCGUUGGAUUAGCUAGUUGGUGGGGUAAAGGCCUACCAAGGCGACGAUCCAUAGCUGGUCUGAGAGGAUGAUCAGCCACAUUGGGACUGAGACACGGCCCAAACUCCUACGGGAGGCAGCAGUAGGGAAUAUUGGACAAUGGGCGCAAGCCUGAUCCAGCCAUGCCGCGUGAGUGAUGAAGGCCCUAGGGUUGUAAAGCUCUUUCACCGGAGAAGAUAAUGACGGUAUCCGGAGAAGAAGCCCCGGCUAACUUCGUGCCAGCAGCCGCGGUAAUACGAAGGGGGCUAGCGUUGUUCGGAAUUACUGGGCGUAAAGCGCACGUAGGCGGAUCGAUCAGUCAGGGGUGAAAUCCCAGGGCUCAACCCUGGAACUGCCUUUGAUACUGUCGAUCUGGAGUAUGGAAGAGGUGAGUGGAAUUCCGAGUGUAGAGGUGAAAUUCGUAGAUAUUCGGAGGAACACCAGUGGCGAAGGCGGCUCACUGGUCCAUUACUGACGCUGAGGUGCGAAAGCGUUGGGAGCAAACAGGAUUAGAUACCCUGAUAGUCCACGCCGUAAACGAUGAAUGUUAGCCGUCGGGCAGUAUACUGUUCGGUGGCGCAGCUAACGCAUUAAACAUUCCGCCUGGGGAGUACGGUCGCAAGAUUAAAACUCAAAGGAAUUGACGGGGGC
Molecule: ribosomal RNA, 863 nt
Filed under: uncultured Alphaproteobacteria bacterium
Lineage: Bacteria; Pseudomonadati; Pseudomonadota; Alphaproteobacteria
Description: bacterial SSU rRNA
Rfam family: Bacterial small subunit ribosomal RNA
Source: RNAcentral